Molecule: ribosomal RNA, 250 nt
Filed under: uncultured bacterium
Lineage: Bacteria
Description: partial 16S ribosomal RNA
Rfam family: Bacterial small subunit ribosomal RNA
Source: RNAcentral
CGAACGGUUGUAGCAAUACAGCAGUGGCGCACGGGUGAGUAACACGUGGGAAUCUGCCUGAUAGUGGGGGAUAACCAAGGGAAACUUUGGCUAAUACCGCAUACGCCCUUAGGGGGAAAGAUUUAUCGCUAUCAGAUGAGCCCGCGCGAGAUUAGCUAGUUGGUGAGGUAAUGGCUCACCAAGGCUAUGAUCUCUAGCUGGUCUGAGAGGACGACCAGCCACACUGGAACUGAGACACGGUCCAGACUCC